GUUGUAUGGUUAAGUGACUAAGCGUACACGGUGGAUGCCUGGGCAGUCAGAGGCGAUGAAGGACGUACUAACUUGCGAUAAGCGUAGAUGAGGCAGUAAGAGCCACUUGAGUCUACGAUUUCCGAAUGGGGAAACCCAACUGCAUAAGCAGUUAUCUCAAUGUGAAUUCAUAGCAUUGUGAGGCGAACCGGGGGAACUGAAACAUCUAAGUACCCCGAGGAAGAGAAAUCAACCGAGAUUCCGGCAGUAGCGGCGAGCGAAACCGGAUUAGCCCUUAAGCUAAUCUUGCGUUAGGUGAACAUGCUGGAAAGCAUGGCAAUAAAGGGUGAUAGCCCCGUAACCAACAGCGCAUUAUCAGUGAAAUCGAGUAGGACGGGACACGUGUUAUCCUGUCUGAAUAUGGGGGGGACCAUCCUCCAAGGCUAAAUACUCCUGACUGACCGAUAGUGAACCAGUACCGUGAGGGAAAGGCGAAAAGUACCCCUGUGAGGGGAGUGAAAUAGAACCUGAAACCGUGUACGUACAAGCAGUAGGAGCAGGCUUGUCCUGUGACUGCGUACCUUUUGUAUAAUGGGUCAGCGACUUAAUUUUAGUAGCAAGGUUAACCAUCUAGGGGAGCCGUAGGGAAACCGAGUCUUAACUGGGCGUCAUAGUUGCUAGGAUUAGACCCGAAACCGAGUGAUCUAGCCAUGGGCAGGUUGAAGAUUGAGUAACAUCAAUUGGAGGACCGAACCGACUAAUGUUGAAAAAUUAGCGGAUGACUUGUGGCUAGGGGUGAAAGGCCAAUCAAACUCGGAGAUAGCUGGUUCUCCCCGAAAGCUAUUUAGGUAGCGCCUCGGACGAAUAC
RNAcentral lists this ribosomal RNA (847 nucleotides) under Vibrio parahaemolyticus. RNAcentral describes it as "partial 23S ribosomal RNA". It matches the Rfam family "Bacterial large subunit ribosomal RNA", at positions 1 to 893 of the family's 2925-position model. Lineage: Bacteria; Pseudomonadati; Pseudomonadota; Gammaproteobacteria; Vibrionales; Vibrionaceae. The record is from RNAcentral.